AUAUUGCAGAAGUUAACAUUCCCCUUGACAAUGAUGGAAGAGGUCUAAUGGCUCUGCCACCUACUUCGUGGCAUCUCUAACCAUGUAUUUGG
Molecule: small nuclear RNA, 92 nt
Organism: Pangasianodon hypophthalmus (striped catfish)
Lineage: Eukaryota; Metazoa; Chordata; Actinopteri; Siluriformes; Pangasiidae
Source: RefSeq, a predicted model, not a curated record